This 304-nucleotide long non-coding RNA is filed under the name Malus domestica (apple). Its description in RNAcentral is "long non-coding RNA (MDOM_LNC007937)". Lineage: Eukaryota; Viridiplantae; Streptophyta; Magnoliopsida; Rosales; Rosaceae. The record is from RNAcentral.
UCUCGAACUUUGCCCCUUUCACCUCCAAUGGCUUCAGCGACACCCCUUUUGACGGAUGAGCUCGACAUUGUGAUCCCGACCAUCAGAAACCUCGACUUCCUCGAGAUGUGGCGGCCGUUCCUGCAGCCCUACCACCUCAUCAUCGUCCAGGACGGUGAUCCGACGAAGACCAUCAAGGUCCCCGACGGCUUCGACUACGAGCUCUACAACCGCAACGACAUUAACAGGAUUCUGGGUCCGAGGUCGUCCUGCAUUUCGUUCAAAGACUCUGCCUGCCGAUGCUUUGGUUACAUGGUCUCCAAGA